ACGCCCAGUGCUGUACGGAGC
RNAcentral lists this unclassified non-coding RNA (21 nucleotides) under Chlamydomonas reinhardtii. RNAcentral describes it as "small RNA Cre_0309". The record is from RNAcentral. Lineage: Eukaryota; Viridiplantae; Chlorophyta; Chlorophyceae; Chlamydomonadales; Chlamydomonadaceae.